Molecule: ribosomal RNA, 497 nt
Filed under: uncultured bacterium
Lineage: Bacteria
Description: partial 16S ribosomal RNA
Rfam family: Bacterial small subunit ribosomal RNA
Source: RNAcentral
GAUGAACGCUGGCGGCGUGCCUAAUACAUGCGAGUCGAGCGAACAGACGAGGAGCUUGCUCCUCUGACGUUAGCGGCGGGCGGGUGAGUAACACGUGGAUAACCUACCUAUAAGACUGGGAUAACUUCGGGAAACCGGAGCUAAUACCGGAUAAUAUAUUGAACCGCAUGGUUCAAUAGUGAAAGACGGUUUUGCUGUCACUUAUAGAUGGAUCCGCGCCGCAUUAGCUAGUUGGUAAGGUAACGGCUUACCAAGGCAACGAUGCGUAGCCGACCUGAGAGGGUGAUCGGCCACACUGGAACUGAGACACGGUCCAGACUCCUACGGGAGGCAGCAGUAGGGAAUCUUCCGCAAUGGGCGAAAGCUUGACGGAGCAACGCCGCGUGAGUGAUGAAGGUCUUCGGAUCGUAAAACUCUGUUAUUAGGGAAGAACAAAUGUGUAAGUAACUAUGCACGUCUUGACGGUACCUAAUCAGAAAGCCACGGCUAACUACGUG